Molecule: long non-coding RNA, 907 nt
Filed under: Triticum aestivum (bread wheat)
Lineage: Eukaryota; Viridiplantae; Streptophyta; Magnoliopsida; Poales; Poaceae
Description: long non-coding RNA (TAES_LNC007721)
Source: RNAcentral
CACACAGUGGCCCUUCAUGGCCACCGACAGUGAAGUCGCACAGCACUCGUCAUUGGCUGCUCCUUCCGCUGCUGCCGUGGUCCGGGUGAGCCUCUUCCUCCUGAUGGCUGCCAUCCUCUGCCACUUCUUUGCCAUCUGAGCAAGCCUCUUGGCACUAACCAUGUUUCUUUUCUCCUCCCUGUAUUUCUUGCUUGGCUAGGUGUAGUAAUGCUGCUUUGGUUUCUAAAUGAACUGAUGUGGUGGUGGUGGUGGUGCUAAUCUGAUGGACUUAUAUAUAGGAGUGAGGGAGAAAGAAAAGUGAACAAGUCAGUUUAGGUGCAGCUAUCCUGACAGGUUGGCAAGGGACAUGGCCAUGAGCUUAGAACAUGCAAUGCUAACUGCAAGAGUGCAAUGUGAUCUUGAUUGAUUUGUCUGUGGCCAUUAGUUUGCCAUACUGAUAUGUUUCAGUGGCAAAUAGUAUAAGAAGCAUACGACUGUGGAGACCAUGUGUCAAUUGGGUCCAUUUCUGUUUCUGAUUGCAAAACCACAUGCAGACUAAUCAUUUUGGGUGCUGGAUUAAUCAUAUACGGAGUAUUAACGGAAUGCACCCUGAGAUCGAGAUACUUUAGUGUGAGAGUUGCUCAUGCAACAAGAAGAUAAGAUCUCUUCAAUGGUCCACACACCUAGCUAGCACCAAGAUUACAAGUAGCUCAUGAUCGUUAUUAAGUGACAGAAUCUCUUCACUGGUCAAGACACUUGGCUGUAAGAUUACAAGUAGCUCAUGUUUGGUAGCUGAACUAUUGUUUUUUUACAUGAUUUGUUUUCAAAAAAGAAAAAAUGCGAGGAAAAGGAAUUUAUAUUUGUCUGAACAUAAUGAGAUCGAUGUCCUGUGGUAAAAUUCGAAUCAUUUUUGCAGGAGUGGACUUUA